RNAcentral lists this ribosomal RNA (502 nucleotides) under uncultured bacterium. RNAcentral describes it as "partial 16S ribosomal RNA". It matches the Rfam family "Bacterial small subunit ribosomal RNA", at positions 28 to 507 of the family's 1533-position model. The record is from RNAcentral.
GACGAACGCUGGCGGCGUGCUUAACACAUGCAAGUCGAACGGUGAAGGGGCCUGCUUUUGUGGGCUCUGGAUGAGUGGCGAACGGGUGAGUAACACGUGAGUAACCUGCCCCCUUCUUCUGGAUAACCGCAUGAAAGUGUGGCUAAUACGGGAUAUUCUGGGUCUUUCGCAUGAUGGGUCUGGGAAAGAUUGCGCCUUUGGGUGAUCUUUGUGGGGGAUGGGCUCGCGGCCUAUCAGCUUGUUGGUGGGGGGAUGGCCUACCAAGGCGGUGACGGGUAGCCGGCCUGAGAGCGGGGACGGUGACACUGGGACUGAGCCACGGCCCAGACUCCUACGAGCGGUAGCAGUGGGGCAUAUAGCACGAUGGGCGCAAGCCUGCUGCAGCGACGCCGCGUGAGGGAUGGACGCCUUCGGGUUGUAAACCUCUUUCGCCAGUGAAGCAGGCCUGCUACUUGUGGGUGGGUUGACGGUAGCUGGAUAAGAAGCGCCGGCUAACUACGUG